Molecule: ribosomal RNA, 253 nt
Filed under: uncultured bacterium
Lineage: Bacteria
Description: partial 16S ribosomal RNA
Rfam family: Bacterial small subunit ribosomal RNA
Source: RNAcentral
UACGUAGGUGGCAAGCGUUAUCCGGAAUUACUGGGUGUAAAGGGAGCGUAGACGGUAAUGUAAGUCUGGAGUGAAAGGCGGGGGCCCAACCCCCGGACUGCUCUGGAAACUAUGUUACUAGAGUGCAGGAGAGGUAAGCGGAAUUCCUAGUGUAGCGGUGAAAUGCGUAGAUAUCACACAGAACACCGAUUGCGAAGGCAUCUCACGAAUCCGCGAUUGACGCUGAUGCACGAAAGCGUGGGUAUCAAACAGG